RNAcentral lists this long non-coding RNA (5207 nucleotides) under Capsicum annuum. RNAcentral's name for it is "long non-coding RNA (CANN_LNC003134)". Lineage: Eukaryota; Viridiplantae; Streptophyta; Magnoliopsida; Solanales; Solanaceae. The record is from RNAcentral.
AAGUUAGUUACUCAACUACUUAGUAGAGUUAUUGUCAUAACAAUUUGGGAACAAGGGAAUCGUGGUGCCUUGGUGCAACGAAUUGAAAAUUUUGUGCCUUCCUAGUGUAGGUGGAUUUUGGUUGCAUUGUGGAUGGAAUUCGACCCAAGAAGAUACAUUUGCUGGCGUUCCAUUUCUAAUAUUCCCGAUUGCCGGUGAUCAAGUUACUAACAGUAAACAAAACAGAAAUGCUUGGAGGAUUGGAAGAUUGGGUGGAGGAUCAAUAAGGAAAGGGAGAAGCUGGUUACGAGAGAUGAAAUUGCUAUGCUUUUGCAGAGUUUUAUGGACCUUGACAACUACCACAAAACAGAAAUGAGGAAAAAAGCAACGGAAAUAAGGAAGAUCUGUCAAGAAGCAGUUGAAGGCGGAGCCAUUCAAGGAAAUAUUUGCAAGUGUAAUUGGGAUCUUUCUCACAGCCUAAGACAAUAAUGUUUGGUUUAUAAAAAAGUUAUGCACAAAAAGUAAUGUAUGAACUAAAUAAUUUAAAAAUUAUUCCUGUAAUAUGUUUCACCUGUGAAAUCGUAUCCAGCUUUUUCUUUCCCGUAAACUUUUAAGCAUGUAAUAUUGUCCAAACUUCUGCAGUACUACUUUUUGUUGAAUGAAUAAAUAAAUAAAUGGAAAGAAUACCCAAUCAAACAAAAAUGUACCAAGGCAAUAAAAUAAAAUAGUCAAAAUCAAAGAGAAGAAGGAUCCAAAUUGUGUAGAAGAUAGUGAUAGAUUACUCAGAAGCUUAGAAGUCGACCAACGAAACAUAGGAAUAUCAGGAAAAAGCAUAGCAAAAGGCAAGGAGAAUGAAAGCACACAAUUAGAUACUACUACAAUUUAAAGUGGCCACUUGGGUGGUGUCAUGGUUGAAGGGCAUUAGAAAUACGCAUAAUUAUAUGUAUUGUAGCUGAAUCUUUGAGUAGAGAGAAAAUGAACAUUGCUGAAGAGGAAUUUUAUCAAGCAUCUACAGGACAAAGGGUAAGGAUAUUAGAAUAUAGAGAGGAACUGGAGAAUGAAUAACAACCAGAGAAAUGGUACGGAGGAACAUAUUUCAUUUUUCUCAAUGUUUGAUUAGACUAAACUUUUGUAGUAAUAAGUUUUUAUAAGUAUUUGAGAUCAUUCCAACCUCGUGACCCCAAGGCCCAACUCCCCAUCUCCUCCCACACCAUAAUGUGUUACUAGGUUAAUUACCACAUGAGCAUCUUAAAAGUUGAGGAUCAAUUUUUUCUUGUCAAAAUUCUUUCAAUGCCAGAAAUUACGACUUCAAAUAUGUUAAUUUUUUCAUGUUUUAUUGGUUAAAAACUGACUUUCUAAUAUGAAUAGGAAAGACAAGUUUUAAAAGUAGCAUUCCACUCUAAUUGUGUUUGUCUAGUCUUCAACACACCUCAUGUUUGCUCUCAUCCUCCAUAUCUCCCUCUCUCUAUCCCAGCAUUCCUACUCCAACACUCUACCCCAUCUCUCAUAGUUUUUUAAGUAUUUUAUGUAGAAUAUAUAAAAAUAUUAUUAAAUACUAGUAAUAUUUUUAUUUAUGUAUGACUAUGAGUUUAAAAAAAUAAAAAAUAAAAAAGAAAUUUGUUUUCUAGAGGACAUUUUCUGAGAGAACCUUUUCCUUCUCUCUACGGCACAUUUCUGAUCAAAUUUUAUCAGUCCUAAAACCCCAGUUUUCGUUUCUCCGAUUCAUAAAGCAAAAGAAUCAAAAGAAAUGGAAAUUGCCCACGUCGAUCAAGCCAAAUAUUAUUGCCACAUAUUGGCAAUUCCCUAUCCAGGUAGAGGCCACAUCAAUCCGUUGAUGAAUUUUUGCAAGCUCCUUGCUACAACCACACCAAAACUUCAGCUAGUAAUCUCUUUUAUUGUAACCAAAGAAUGGUUCAGCUUUUUGAAAUCAGAGCCAAAACCAGAUAAUAUCCAAUUUCAUACAAUCCCAAAUGUAAUUCCACCAGAAAAGGAUCGAAGCGAAUUAGAUUUGUUGAGAUUCGUGGAAGCUGUGUUUACUAAGAUGGAAGCUCCAGUUGAGAGUUUACUUGAUGGGCUACCAAAGCUCAAUGUGAUUAUAGCUGAUACAUUAUUGCCGUGGGCCGUCCGUAUUGGGGAUCGGAGGAAUAUUCCGGUGGCUUCAUUUUGGACCAUGUCUAUUACCGCUUUCUCCAUUUUUUAUCACCAUAAAUUGCUACUAGCUGAUGCACAUUUUCAAGCCAAUUUUACAGGUACUUGUUUCUUUUUUCCCCAAAAUUUUGCACUCAGAGAUUAAAUCAUGUCAAGUAACCUUACCCGUUUGCGACAACAACAAUAACGUAUUCAGAUAUGGAUAUAUUAUGUCUAGAGUGGAUCUGGAGAGAUAAGCUUGUGAGUUGAUCUUAUGAUUUGAUGCGAGAUAUGGUUAGAAACAUAUUUCCGAUCAAAGCAUCGCAAAACUAAGAUUAUGAAUUUAUUAAGGAGGUGUUUGCCUAGUUUGACUUCCAUUUCAAAAAGUAAGACAUAGUUUGUUCUGACACGAAAUUUAAGAAAAUAAAAAAGACUUUUUAAUGUUAUGGUAUUAAAUUAAAGAUAUAUUAAAUGCAUCAAAAUUUAUUCGAUCUUGUGGUUCUAAAUAUGCACAUGAAAAGUUAAAACUAAAAAGUUGUUAAAAAAAAAAAUGAAAGGGGACAUUUUUCUUAAAUGGAUUAAAAGGAAAUGGAGGAAGUAAUGUAUUAUUUAUAAUAUUUUGAUAUACGUUUUUACUUUUUUUUGGAAUACUUAUUUGGCUAUAAAUAUUUUUGAAUUUACUUUUUGUAGUUUUUUUUAAUUUUUUUAAACAAUUUAAUUUAAACAUGAAAUUUAGGAAUCCUUUCAAGAUUGUUGUCUAGGAAAAACCGUGAUAAUAGCUUUUAAGAGCAUGGUUGAAUUGACUUAUCUUAGUAUAUUUAAGCUAAAUACAAUUUUUAAGCACUUUUAUAAUAUUUGAGUAAAACAACAAAGCUUUUAAGUCAAAAAAAAGACAAAAUAAACUAUACGGGCUAGUUUGGUAGAGUGUAUAAGAUAAUACUAAAUGGGUUGUAUUAGUAAUGCUGGGAUUAAUAGUGCAGGGAUUAGUAAUAUGGAGAUUAUUUUUUAUGCAGUGUUUGAUUUGAUGUAUUGAAAACAAUAUGAAUUGUUAUGUUUUAAAAAGAAUAUUGUUUGUUUAUAAAAAUACCCUUGUCAUAUUAUAACUUUGUGUAUUUUCUUUGCAAAACUUUAUUGUUCUUUUUUAAAAGAAAAAAAAUAAAAAUAUAACUAAUUAUUUACUUUGGAAUUUUAAGAUUCAAUCAUUCAUUUACAAAAAUUUUUUUGUUAUCUUUUCUUUAUUUGUUCAUCAUUUAUUUGUUGUUUCCACUCUGUGAUGUUCUUACGUUGAGGGAGAUACGUGUAACUUUUGAAUGAGACAAUAGAAUUAUUAUUAACAUAAAUUUGUGUUCCGUAAAGUGUUAAAGAUAAUUAGAAAAAAUAUUUUAUUUAUGAAUAUCCUAUUUACAAAAUUAAAGUUUGUAUGCAAUCAUGCAAUUUAUUUUUGGAUUUUGACCAUUAAGUAUUUUUUAAGUUAAUGGAAUAGUUUUUUAUGACUAAAAUUAUUUGGAGGGAUAUUAUUAUCUUGAUAAAUUGAAAAGAAAUAAUUCACAUUGAAUAAAUUGAAAAGAUUUAGAAAAAGAAUUAAAGAAAUUUGAGGGUGUUUUUGUCUUGACACAUAUUUAUCCAUGGAUUACUAAUCCCAUCAAAUUGGAUGUAUUAGUUAUACACUCUAUAAUACCAUGUAUGAUGUAUAACUAAUUCAUGUAUUAGUUAUACAUAACUUCAAAAUUGCUGCCAAACAAUGUAUUAAGUAAUCCCAUCAUUUAAUCCAUGGAUUAUGAAAAUAAUCUACCCUACCAAACGGGUCCUAAAAGUCAUAAGAUAGAAUUUCAAACCCAUGGCUUUUGCUUAAAAGCCAAAGCUAUAAGUCCAUACUCCCUUUACUUUUAAGUAGAAUUUUUAAGCCAUAAGUGAUGUGAAAUUCUUCACAAAAUUGCUACAAGUAGUAGGAGUAUAUCAUUUGCUUCCAUUAAAUUUCAUGAAAUUCGUUUAUUUUCGUUGUUAGUAGAUACAUUCAUCCUUGUUUGCUGUCUACCUAACUAACUACAAUGUUGGCAAAUGGCAACAGGAAACGUAAUAUAAGUUGAGUUUCUCAGUAGGUGUUUAGACCUGAAUUUAGUGAUAUCUUCUUAAAUUAAAGUUGAAAAAUGAUAUUUGGAAAUUGAACAUGCAUUUUACAUGAAAAAAGAAAAACUUAAAACUCUUUUUAGGGGGUAAAAUUCCCCUUGAAAAACUCAUCUGCAAGAACUAACUAAAAAUCCUUCUAACAUAUAAUCAAACAAUGUUUGAAAAUAUUUUUUGGAAGAAAAAAUAACUUACAUCAAAUCGGGCAAUUAAUUUCAUGAUGAACAGAGCAAGGAGAAGAGGUUGUAAAUCACAUUCCUGGGGUUAAACCAAUUUGCGUGAAGGAUCUUCCAUCCGCAUUUAACAUCAAACGCCGGAAGAUGUUGCCCUUUCUUCUCGAAGCUGUAUCGGAAUCGGUCAAUAAAGCACAAUAUGCCUUGUUCACCACCAUUGAAGCAUUGGAAUCUCAAGUAAUUGAGGCUUUACGAGCUAAAUUUCCAGUUCCCAUUUUCACAGUUGGUCCAACAAUCCCUUACUUCGAUACUGAAUUCAAAACUAACCAGCCUAGUUCAAACUACUUGUCAUGGCUUGAUGAUCAACCUAAGGACUCUGUUCUAUACAUAUCCCAAGGAAGUUUCAUGUCAGUAUCUAAAGAACAGUUGGAUGAAAUUAUAGCGGGCGUGCACAGCAGCGGUGUCCGAUCAUUUUGGGUGGCGCGUGAGGAUACUUCCUUACUUACAGAUGCAGUAGGGAACAAGGGAAUCGUUGUGCCUUGGUGCGACCAAUUGAAAGUUCUGUGCCAUCCUAGUGUAGGCGGGUUUUGGUCGCAUUGCGGAUGGAAUUCGAUCAAGGAAGGUGCAUAUGCUGGCAUUCCUUUUCUUACAUUCCCUAUUGGCGCUGAUCAAUUUACCAACAGUAAACAAAUAGUGGAGGACUGGAAGAUUGGUUGGAGGAUCAAUAAGGAAAGGGAGAAGCUGGUUAAAAGAGAUGAAAUUGCUAUGCUUUUGCAGAGUUUUAUGGACCUUGACAACUACCAU